UUCAUUGGAAACAAAGUUUACCAUAGGCUCCAAAAGUAGUGACAUAAUGGAAAUAAAUGUGGAAGUUCGGGGACUAGUUAGGGGGAAAAAAUUCCAGCUUCUACCUUCUCCCUCACAAGGAUACUUGGCCUUGAGCCACGAAUCAAUUCAUUGAACUAACUCAAAUGGGGAUGCACUUAUUACUGAUGCAGCUGGUUCCCUGAGAAGACGAUCCCUUAUAAUUCAUUGAGAUGCUUGGCCAAAUUCAGUAUGGUGUUCAAGGUUCUCUAAUUUGGAGAAAUUAACGUGCAUAAUCACUGCAUUAUUCAUGUUUGGAUGUCUACACUUCAGUCUUUUGGCAGUGAGAAGAUGAGUUAAUCUUGCACUCUCUGUAUUUCACUGUCAUGAAAUUUUGGUGAAAUUCAUUUCUUGUUUUUCUCUAUCUAUUAUUAUUCGUUUUUCUCUGAUAUAUUUGCAGAAAUCCCAUUAGUUUCUGUGGAUUUAUUUUUGAAUUGAUUUGUGAUGUUAGAAAGAUGAAUUAAUCUUUUCAGUUA
Molecule: long non-coding RNA, 533 nt
Organism: Olea europaea var. sylvestris
Lineage: Eukaryota; Viridiplantae; Streptophyta; Magnoliopsida; Lamiales; Oleaceae
Exons: 2
Source: RefSeq, a predicted model, not a curated record